AUAAGCUUUGAUCCGGAGAUUUCUGAAUGGGGAAACCCACCCUUAGGGGUAUCGUUAUCUGAAUACAUAGGGUAACGAGGCGAACCGGGUGAACUGAAACAUCUCAGUAGCUCGAGGAAAAGACAUACUAUCGUGACUCCGCUAGUAGUGAUGAGCGAACGCGGACCAGGCCAGUGGUUCAAAUUUAAUAAUUAAAAUAGUAUGGAAAGACUAGCCAAAGAAGGUGAUAGCCCUGUAUAAGUAAAAAAAGUUUGAAUCCUUGAGUAAGGCGGGACACGUGAAAUCCUGUCUGAAUAUGGGGGGACCACCCUCCAAGCCUAAGUACUCUCUAACGACCGAUAGUGAACUAGUACCGUGAGGGAAAGGUGAAAAGAACCCCGAUGAGGGGAGUGAAAAGACCUGAAAUCGAAUGCUUACAAACAGUCGGAGCGGAAACAGUCCUUGAGAUUGAUUAUCCGUGACGGCGUACCUUUUGUAUAAUGGGUCAGAGAGUUAGUUUAUCGUGCGAGCUUAAGCCGUUAGGUGUAGGCGUAGCGAAAGCAAGUUUUAAUAGAGCGAUUUAGUACGAUGAAUUAAACCCGAAACCGAGUGAUCUAUCCAUGGCCAGAUUGAAGGGGCAGUAAGAUGCUCUGGAGGAUCGAACCCACUAAUGUUGAAAUAUUAGGGGAUGAGCUGUGGAUAGGGGUGAAAGGCCAAUCAAACUCGGAAAUAGCUGGUUCUCCGCGAAAUCUAUUUAGGUAGAGCGUUAUGUGAUUACCGUUGGGGGUAGAGCACUGGAUAGGCUAGGGGGGUGCGUAACUUUACCAAACUUAACCAAACUCCGAAUACCAGCGAGUACAGCAUAGCAGACAGACUACGGGUGCUAAGAUCCGUGGUCGAGAGGGAAAGAGCCCAGACCACCAUCUAAGGUCUUAAAAUAAUGACUAAGUGUGAAAGGAUGUGAAAGGACCAUAACAACUAGGAGGUUGGCUUAGAAGCAGCCAUCCUUUAAAGAAAGCGUAACAGCUCACUAGUCUAAAUAAGUCCUCUUGCGCCGACAAUGUAUCGGGGCUAAAGCCAUUUACCGAAGAUGUGGAUGCGUAACAUUAGUUAUGCGUGGUAGCGGAGCGUUCUGUAGGCCUGUGAAGGCAAACCGUAAGGGUUGCUGGAGGUAUCAGAAGUGAGAAUUCUGACAUAAGUAGCGAUAAAGAAUGUGAGAAACAUUCUCGCCGAAAGUCCAAGGUUUCCUGCUUAAAGCUAAUCUGAGCAGGGUUAGUCGGCCCCUAAGGCGAGGCUGAAAAGCGUAGUCGAUGGGAAUCAGGUUAAUAUUCCUGAACCUGUGGGAAGUGACGAAAGACGUAAUUUGUAUGUCCUUAUUGGAUUGGAUGUGCAAAGAAGUUUUUCCAGGAAAUAGCCCCACAUAAGACCGUACCCGAAACCGACACAGGUGGACUGGUAGAGUAUACCAAGGCGCUUGAGAGAACUACUCUGAAGGAACUCGGCAAAAUGCAUCUGUAACUUAGGGAGAAAGAUGACCCAUUCUUAGGCAACUAGGGAUGGGUGGCACAAACCAGGGGGUAGCGACUGUUUAUCAAAAACACAGGGCUCUGCAAAGUCGAAAGACGAAGUAUAGGGCCUGACGCCUGCCCAGUGCCGGAAGGUUAAGAGGAGAUGUGCAAGCAUUGAAUUGAAGCCCCGGUGAACGGCGGCCGUAACUAUGACGGUCCUAAGGUAGCGAAAUUCCUUGUCGGGUAAGUUCCGACCCGCACGAAUGGCGUAACGACUUCCCCGCUGUCUCCAGUGUAGACUCAGCGAAAUUGAAUUCCCCGUGAAGAUGCGGGGUACCGCGGUUAGACGGAAAGACCCCGUGAACCUUUACUAUAGCUUCACAUUGACAUUGGGUAAUUCAUGUGUAGGAUAGGUGGGAGACUUCGAGGCUGCGUCGCUAGGCGUAGAUUAGUCGUCCUUGAAAUACCACCCUUGGA
This 1964-nucleotide ribosomal RNA is filed under the name freshwater metagenome. RNAcentral describes it as "bacterial LSU rRNA". It matches the Rfam family "Bacterial large subunit ribosomal RNA", at positions 92 to 2210 of the family's 2925-position model. The record is from RNAcentral.